RNAcentral lists this ribosomal RNA (801 nucleotides) under uncultured Campylobacterales bacterium. Its description in RNAcentral is "bacterial SSU rRNA". It matches the Rfam family "Bacterial small subunit ribosomal RNA", at positions 61 to 874 of the family's 1533-position model. Lineage: Bacteria; Pseudomonadati; Campylobacterota; Epsilonproteobacteria; Campylobacterales. The record is from RNAcentral.
GUCGAACGAGAACGGGUUAUAGCUUGCUAUAAUUGUCAGCUAAGUGGCGCACGGGUGAGUAAUGUAUAGGUAAUAUGCCUUUUACUAAGGGAUAACAGAUGGAAACGUUUGCUAAUACCUUAUACUCCGUUUAUGUAUAAAUGUAAAUGGGAAAGAUUUAUCGGUAAGAGAUUGGCCUGUAUUGUAUCAGUUAGUUGGUGGGGUAAUGGCCUACCAAGACAAUGACGCAUAACUGGUUUGAGAGGAUGAUCAGUCACACUGGAACUGAGACACGGUCCAGACUCCUACGGGAGGCAGCAGUGGGGAAUAUUGCACAAUGGACGGAAGUCUGAUGCAGCAACGCCGCGUGGAGGAUGACACAUUUCGGUGCGUAAACUCCUUUUAUAUAAGAAGAUAAUGACGGUAAUAUAUGAAUAAGCACCGGCUAACUCCGUGCCAGCAGCCGCGGUAAUACGGGGGUGCAAGCGUUACUCGGAAUCACUGGGCGUAAAGAGCGUGUAGGCGGAUUGAUAAGUUUGAAGUGAAAUCCUAUAGCUUAACUAUAGAACUGCUUUGAAAACUGUUAAUCUAGAAUGUGGGAGAGGUAGAUGGAAUUUCUGGUGUAGGGGUAAAAUCCGUAGAGAUCAGAAGGAAUACCGAUUGCGAAGGCGAUCUACUAGAACACUAUUGACGCUGAGAUGCGAAAGCGUGGGGAGCAAACAGGAUUAGAUACCCUGGUAGUCCACGCCCUAAACGAUGUACACUAGUUGUUGUGAGACUAGAUCUUGCAGUAAUGCAGUUAACACAUUAAGUGUACCGCCU